AUGAAAUUUUUAAAAAUUUAGAUUUAUUUAAAUCCGAAAAUAUGAACAUUAAAAUUACAAAUUUAAUGGAUAUAGAAUUUUGGCAAGUUUUUGGAUAAUAACAAAAAUAUUUACAUGCUUUAUGUGUUAAAAUUAGAAGUGGAGGGAGAGAAAGAAAGAAGGAAAAUAAUUUAUAAUUAAGAUUUUUCAUUAUUAGAAUAAUAAUAUUUUAUGUAAUGACUUUAAUAUUUACAGAAUAUUGUAUAGGAGUUGAGUUGUUGGCAUAAUAGUGAUUAAAUCAAUUUGUUAAGGCAUCCGAAUUCAAAAUGAGUACUCAUGCUUUUAAAUUACAGUAAUUAUAUUUGUUUCUCUUACAAUUAACUAUUGUUAUUAUUUAGUCACUUAUUGUUAAAGUUGAUUUCUCCUUCUCCAAGAAAAUCGAUCAUGUUAUUAUUUAAUUGCUCAAUUCAUUAAACACAAUAAUAUAUAUUUUUAUUAUAUAUUAUUAUGAUAUUCAUCAUACAUUUCAAUAUUAAAUGAUAAAUAGAAUGUAAAUGAUAUGAUUGUUAUAAAAGGCUUGCAUAUGUAUGCUGAAUUGAUGGAGCUCACCUCCUCAUAGUACUAGCUGAGGACACUGUACUCGUGCACGUUAAAAGAAAAAUGAAAUGGAAAAGGAGUAUCAUCAUUGUUACUAAAUUUAGACGGUGAUUCCUGUGACGGUUGUACUAUAUAUGAAAAUAAGAAAGAUAUGAAUACAGAUAUGAUGAGUGUAAACCGAAUAUAAUAUGACAUGUAUUUUUUAUUUUUUUUGCAUAACAUUAUAUAUUUAAAGUCUGGAAUGAAAUAAAUGAUAUGUUCAAAUGAAAUAAAAUUUAAGAUAUGGAAUGAAAAAGUGUCAUCAAGCAUAUUCCUUCUAUUGCCCUGAGUUACUGUAGUUUAGAGGCAUGUGUUACUCGCUAAGCUUUGGUUUAUUGUUGUUGCUCCAACUUUUAUUUCAAGUAAGUUUAAGAUAAUUCAAUGCGCAGAAAAAAACAAAAAUGUCUACCGCAGACGUGAGGCACCAGAAGAAAGGUAAGUUUAAAAUAAUUCAAUGAGUGAAGAAACGAAAAUAUUUACCUUAGACGUGAGACACCAGAAGUAGCUUGGAGAGUUGUUGUGAGUUGGAGAGAGUGUUUUUGUUUGGAGAGUUGUGGUUUUGUUUUGUUAAGAGCUGGUUUUGGUGUUGUGCUGUUUAAUAGCUUGUAAUUAGGUUGGAUAGUGGAAGCAUUUAUUUCAUGUAUUUUCUUUUAUUUUAUUUUAAUUGCAUUAAUUAAGUAGAAUAAUUAAUUAAAUUUUAAAUUUAAUUGCAGUCAAAAUUAAUUGCUCAACUCUCCAAUUAAAAAUGUAUUUUAAAAUUAUUCAAUUAUUUACAUUAUUAAUUAAGAUUUAAAGCUCCCACCAUGUGAGAUCCCAAACCUACCUCCACUAUCAAAUAUUUCUAAAUCACCCAUGGCAGAAAAGGUGGACGGAAUCCUAAGUGAUAAUAUCAUAUCCAAAAGGGAAGGUGGACGAAGGAGAUACUUGAUUAGGUGGAAAGGAAAGCCCGAGUCUGAGGAUACUUGGUUAGACCGCGAGGAGUUGCAGCAGAUUGACCCAGAUGCACUAGAAAUCUACAAAAGCACCAGAGACACUUACUCGACAGAGUCGAGCAUUCUCCCACCCCAGGAGAAUGAUGGGGAUAUCGGAUCAUGAAAGGUUUAUCAGAGACGUGGUCACCGAUCCAUGGACACGAUUGAGUUAUUAUAUUUUUGAUAUGUUUAUGUAUUUUCUUAUUUAUGAUGUUGUAUUGUAUUUUGUUUUAGUUAGUUUCCCGUUGUACCCUUUUAUUAAGGGAUGUCAUAUGUAAGCGCUGAGGGCAUUGUCGUCUUUCUCAUUUUUAAGUCUAAUGUACGAGGUUAUUUAUAACC
Long non-coding RNA from Dendrobium catenatum, 1925 nucleotides. RefSeq lists it as uncharacterized. NCBI's taxonomy places the organism in Eukaryota, Viridiplantae, Streptophyta, Magnoliopsida, Asparagales, Orchidaceae. The record is from RefSeq and is a predicted model, not a curated record. The transcript has 3 exons.